Molecule: non-coding RNA, 71 nt
Organism: Salmo salar (Atlantic salmon)
Lineage: Eukaryota; Metazoa; Chordata; Actinopteri; Salmoniformes; Salmonidae
Source: Rfam
UUCCCUGUAGCUCAGUUGGUAGAGCAUGGUGUUUGCAACGCCAGGGUUAUGGGUUCGAUUCCACGGGGGGC